RNAcentral lists this ribosomal RNA (253 nucleotides) under uncultured bacterium. RNAcentral describes it as "partial 16S ribosomal RNA". It matches the Rfam family "Bacterial small subunit ribosomal RNA", at positions 524 to 776 of the family's 1533-position model. The record is from RNAcentral.
UACGUAGGCAGCAAGCGUUGUUCGGAGUUACUGGGCGUAAAGGGUGCGUAGGUGGCUCUAUAAGUAUGGUGUGAAAUCUCCCGGCUUAACUGGGAGGGUGCGCCGUAGACUGUGGGGCUAGAGUGUGGGAGAGGAAAGUGGAAUUCCUGGUGUAGCGGUGAAAUGCGUAGAUAUCAGGAGGAACACCUGUGGUGUAGACAGCUUACUGGACCACUUCUGACGCUGAGACACGAAAGCGUGGGUAGCAAACAGG